UACGGGGGGGGCAAGCGUUGUUCGGAAUUACUGGGCGUAAAGGGCUCGUAGGUGGCCAACUAAGUCAGACGUGAAAUCCCUCGGCUUAACCGGGGAACUGCGUCUGAUACUGGAUGGCUUGAGUUUGGGAGAGGGACGCGGAAUUCCAGGUGUAGCGGUGAAAUGCGUAGAUAUCAGGAGGAACACCGGUGGUGUAGACGGCUUUCUGGACCGUAACUGACGCUGAGACACGAAAGCGUGGGUAGCAAACAGG
This 253-nucleotide ribosomal RNA is filed under the name uncultured bacterium. RNAcentral's name for it is "partial 16S ribosomal RNA". It matches the Rfam family "Bacterial small subunit ribosomal RNA", at positions 524 to 776 of the family's 1533-position model. The record is from RNAcentral.